UGUAGUGUUAAGCCAUUUAUCUUAGAGUCUCAAAACUCAGUUAUUAUCUGUCUAGUUAGGAGCUACCUCUUGAUCUUAUAAAAAAGAGAUUUCCAUCAAUUGUCUGUUGAUCAUACUGUGAAUUCUGUAGAGAUUUUUUAAAAUACGGAAUUAUUUUAAAUGUUUUAAAGGACACAUAGAGUAAUACAAAUCACUGUUUUUUAUUUUAUGAAGUUCAAGACCAAUCAGACAAUCCUCUGAUUAUGUGUUAUGCAAAAAUAUCUGAUGUUUAUCCAGUAAUUGAAGAAGUCGUGAAAGUGGGAAUUAAGUAGAAUCAAUAAGAUAGCUUUCCAGAGGAAAGAGCAGAUGUUUUUUCAUGUUUUGAGACAUGAAAAGUAAGUUCUUUCUCAAAAAAAAAAAAAAGUGCUAUUUCUUCUUUGGCAUCCACAGGCCCUACCCUUACAAAAAAGGGAGACAGGGUAAGAAAAGACAGAAAGGGAAAGGAAGGAAGAAAAUAAAAACCAAUUAUGUGUUAAAAACAAAACCAAAACCAAAACCUUUGUGCAUGUAAAAAAGAACUAGUAAAUAUUCAAAUAAUCUAGCCUUCAUAGAAAGAUUUAAGAGUCCAGUCUUGUAUUAUCAGAAGAAAGGAAGAAUGGGCUAUAUCAAAAUCUUCACUGAGUCUGUCUUCCCUGGCUAAAAAUCGAUAAUCCUGGCCCAUUAUCCCACACACUUAUUUUUCCCACAGAAAAGAUAUGUGUGAAAAGCUAUGCUUAAGCUGCAUAGCUGCAUUUCAUGUGGGCUAUAGACAUUCAAGGGUCCAUUUUUUUCUGAUUUUAUGAGAAGCUUGAAACAUUGACUCAGAAAAUUUGGUCAACCUUCAUGAAAUGAGUAUUUCCCUUCCUUUUUUUUUUUUUCCUUUCCUUCACUUCUGGCUGCCUUCCAAUUCCCAGUACUAUAUGUUUUUGAUUUUGGUUGUUUUGACCAUUAUUAAGACUUUCUUUUCAUGCACAACUAUUUUUCAUUAGAAACAUUUGGACAAAAUAUAUUGUAACCAAAAAACCAUAUAGUAUUGUUGGUAUUAUAAUUUUAGGUAAAUUUUACAUACUUGAAAUAAUUAUUGUCACUCAAAAUCCAAAAGUUAACUUCAAAUUAGUUUGAGUCUAAGAUUCAAUUUCAGAAAGGAAAAGUUUAAUCUUUACCAAAAUCAAUGAAGCUUACCAAAAACUCCAGCAAUUUUGAAAUAAAAUAUAAAAUGCACACAAAUAUACUUCUAAUAUUUAAUGUAAUUUUUACAUAAAAGUUGCGUUGUUUACAUGCAUUCACAGGAAAGUAAAAACCAUAUGGCUAGACAGCUGAUGGCUACUUGAAUAAUCUAGAAGUUUUUAGUGUUCAGAACUAAAUAUAUUUAAUUGGAAGCCUUUCCAUAUGAUUUCACAAUUAAGGUACUUUUUAAAUUACAUUUUCGAUAAGUGGCCAGUUCUUUUCAAAGCUUUAUUUAUCAGGUAAAAAAUUCUAAGAGCCUUUGAGUCAUUGAUGGCAGUCAUUUUUUUGUCAGAAAUUUCAUUUUAUGGAAUAUGCAAAUUUCCAUCUAAUGGACAAACAUUUCUGAAAGGUAUGAAGAACAAACAGUACUUUUACCCAUGGUCUCUCUUAUAAAAAAAAUCUUCCUUGUUAAUUCCAAAAUCAGCAUUCUUCAUAUAUAGGGAAAUAUAUUCCAAAAGGCUAUACUUAUGCAUAGUACAUCCUCAUCUCGGCAGAUAUGAAAACUUACUGCAGCAAGAAAUAGGUGGCUACAAGAGUCCUGCACAUCUAUUUUAACAACACAUCUACCUUUCAUUCCACAGUUCAUUGACCGUAUUUGGUUGCCUCACAUCAAAGGACAAGCAAGCAAAUGAACAUAAACAACAACAAAACUUUGGCUGUACCCAUAUGUUGAUUUCCAGGCAAAGUGCCAUAAUUCAAUUCCACCGAUAAUAGAAAGCUAUUGCCCAAGCUUCAGAAUGCCUAUAUUUCUUUCACAGAUGGCAACUUCUUAAAUAAUUUAGCUAGCACCCUACACAACUUAGUAUCUAACAGUGAGGCAAAGCCAUCCAGUUUAGCCCUUCAAUCUGUUUAUCCUUUCAAUGUUAUGAAAGAGUGAUGCCACUGCAGACACAUGCUAAUGAGAGCUGGAGAAUGCAUAUCUGAUAAGCUGCUAAGAAGAUGUAAAUAUUGAAAAAGCAUUCAAAAAUUAAAAAAACAAAGCUCAGCAAUGAGACCCACUGAAGUAUAAAGCAAUGGCUCCAGACAGUGGAGAGCUAGAAAAUAGCAGCAGCAUGAAAAAUGAUAAUUUGUCCUGGAGUAAUCAUGAGUGUCUUUCUCUUUUUCUUUCCCUUGCUCUUGCUCUCUCUUUUAUGAAACAAAGAAAGAGAAGAGAAAUUUGAAAAUGACAAUCUUCAUGUAGCUAGUCUUAAACUGAUCCACAAGUAAAAUUAUUCCCAUUCAUCUUAGAAGUUGCAGGGCAUUCCAUCUGAGUUAAUAAUGCAAUAUGAGAUCUAUAAAAACACAUUCACUGAUGUAAUAGGUAUACAUUUGGCUUUUAAAAUUUAGUUUUCUUCUUUUAAUAUUUCUUGAUGUGUUGGAAAGUACUUAUAAAAUCUUAAUUGGUAUUUUUUCCUGAUGUUUUCUUCCAUACCCUCCUUUUUGCCUUUUACCAUGUUCAAACUACUUAGUUUUUUGUUUUGUUUUUUUAAUUUGCUUGUUUGUUUUUAAUGCUCAUCUCCUCAGUAGAGGAAUACAUUAGGUAAAAGAAAUCAGAGGAUCUGGAAGACAGAGAACAGGUAUUCAAUAGCCCGGAGAGGCCUGAGAAAGAAUCAACACCACGUAUAAAUUCGUGGGAUCUGAGAAUAACAGGGUUACUUAAAUAAAAUACCCCAGAAGCAGCAAGACCCCAGGAAAAAAAAAUAACAUAUCUUCUGUGCGUGGACAGAAAGGACUGUAGACUAAAUCAAAGAGUUCCCUGAGCUGGUGGGACAUGGAGGCAGCCAAGCAACUCCUAUGAUGUCAAGAAUGGCCUGAGAACAACAGAAGAACCCACUAGAUCUAAAACAGUGUUAAAGACAGAAAUAUUAUAUUUCAUUACAUCUAAGUUCCAUGGACUAAGAUGUGUAUCCAUCUAAUUUUCAAAAUAAUUAUUGCUUUAAAAUGUCAUCUUCCAUCCAAAUGGCAUUUCUGUGUUUAGCAAAGGAGGUAUAAUAUGGAAUCUGAUUCCUUGAUUUCAAAUCCCAGCUCCUCUGCUUAUGAGCUGAGCAAGGCAUUUAUCUGCUCUGUGCUUGAGUUUAAUAAAUAUCGCAUCUACCUUCUAAGGUCAUUAGAGGAUUGUUGAUAUCUGUGCUACUUAAAUAUUUAACAUAUAUAAAAACAUUUAAAUACAUCAUCAUCCAGAAAUAAUCACUGUUAAAAAUGUGAUACUCUUUAAUAUAUAUAUAUUUUAAAAUUGUGAUCCUUUAAUGUGUAUCAUCGUACCCAUUUCAUUAUAUAUACAUUAUAUAUUCACAUAUAUUUGUAAUGAUCAGUUAUACUACUAUUUCCACCUGAAACAUUAUGAAAUCAUGUUAAUAUUUAUGCCUGUUUGCCUUGUUUUUUUAACUCUCUUAAAAACAGUAUGAAUUUUUUAGCUCAACUAUAAGUAAUGCCAAAUUACUUUCCAGAUCUUGCCAUAUCACAAUCAGUAAAUAAAGAAGUUACAUUAUAGUUCUAGAUAUAGAAGCAUGUUUUAAAUAUUCCUUUUCCCGGAGUUUUCACUGUGGCUCAGAGGAAACAAACCAGGCUACUAUCCAGGGUGGGGAUGUGGGUUCAAUCCCUGACCUCGUUCAGUGGGUAAAGAAUCCAGCCUUUCCCUGAGCUGCAGUGUAGGUUGCAGAGGAGGCUCAGAUCUGGAGUUGCUGUGACUGUGGCGUAGGCCCUAGCCUGGAAACUUACAUAUGCCGCAUGUGCAGCCCUAAAAAGAAAACAAGCAAACAAAAUUAUUCCUUUUCACAACUCUAAGAACAGUACUGUGUAUUUUCACCUUAUUUUCAAAUUACUUUAUUGAAUAUCUCAAAAAUGUCUUAAAACUCCUACUGCUUGCUUCAGUAGGAAAUCUGUGAUACUGCAAAAGACAGUGUGAGUAUGACACCUGCUGGCUGCCUAUGAAGUGACACAGUUAUUACCCUUUGAAUUUAAAUCUUAAUUUCAGUUUACAAAGCAAGGAGAAUCCGGUCCCAGUGUUUCUUUCUGAGGUAUAGAUAAUUGGUCUUUUUCAUACAUAUUUCGUAUACUACUUUUCUUAAUAAAUUUAUCAUUUCAUAUUUUUGACUCUUGUAAUGAUGGUUCAAUAUUUUAAAUAGAAAUUUUAAGAAAGACUUAAACCUCAAUAUUACUUAAAUUUUAUUUCAAAACUAUUAUAUAACAUUUGAACUUUAAGUUCAAAUAUAAAUAUCCAUAUAAAUUUUUAUAAAGUAAUUUUAUUACAAAAUUGAUUAUUUUUGAAAUGAAGAACUAGUGCCCCACCAUGAAAAUAGAAAGUAAAACUCAAGCAUUUUUAUUACCAGUUUCUAUGUGCUAUGUUAAGCUUACCAGCAUUGUAAUUAUAAUGACAAGUGUUUUGACUUUUGCACUCAUCACUAUCUACUUUGAAUUUUCUACCCCUACAUAAUCAUUAGCAUCUCUAUUUUUCAUGUAUGCUUUGAGUAUAUACCAAUUUAUUUAAUCAUACACUUUUUGAUUUAAGUUCUUCCUGUUUCCAAUUUUGCUUGAUUCAGAAUUAUACUGAAAUUAAUUACUUAUCAUGGAAAAUUUUCUGUAUUUAAAAAAAUGAGACAUUCUUAUAUGUCAGAGAUUGAAGGUAGUUUCCAAGAUGAAUGUUCUUUUGGGCAUUUAAAGCUAAUAUUGAAUAUAUUCCAAUUCUAAAGCAAAGUUAGGUGUGAUAGAGAUUUUUGUUGUGAUACCAAUAUUGUAAUAUCAAAUAUUUCUAAACUAUUCAUUGGGUUCUCAUUUGUAUGAAAUACUGACUUAAGCAUAAGAAGGAAUGAGACACAGCUGUCUCACUUCUUGCACUGAAAAUACCAUUUGUUUUGCAUAGCUGUGGCUGUGGCUGUGGCCGUGGCCGUGGCCGUGGCCAGCGGCUACAGCUCUGAUUAGACCCCUGGCCUGGGCAUCUCCAUAUGCUGCAGGAGCGGCCCUAG
Molecule: long non-coding RNA, 5186 nt
Filed under: Sus scrofa (pig)
Lineage: Eukaryota; Metazoa; Chordata; Mammalia; Artiodactyla; Suidae
Description: lncRNA (ENSSSCG00000054542.1)
Source: RNAcentral